This 1446-nucleotide ribosomal RNA is filed under the name uncultured organism. RNAcentral describes it as "SSU rRNA". It matches the Rfam family "Bacterial small subunit ribosomal RNA". The record is from RNAcentral.
GGCUCAGGAUGAACGCUAGCGACAGGCUUAACACAUGCAAGUCGAGGGGCAGCGGGGGUAGCAAUACCCGCCGGCGACCGGCGCACGGGUGAGUAACGCGUAUGCAACUUACCUAUCAGAGGGGGAUAACCCGGCGAAAGUCGGACUAAUACCGCAUGAAGCAGGGAUCCCGCAUGGGAAUAUUUGCUAAAGAUUCAUCGCUGAUAGAUAGGCAUGCGUUCCAUUAGGCAGUUGGCGGGGUAACGGCCCACCAAACCGACGAUGGAUAGGGGUUCUGAGAGGAAGGUCCCCCACAUUGGUACUGAGACACGGACCAAACUCCUACGGGAGGCAGCAGUGAGGAAUAUUGGUCAAUGGCCGAGAGGCUGAACCAGCCAAGUCGCGUGAGGGAUGAAGGUUCUAUGGAUCGUAAACCUCUUUUAUAAGGGAAUAAAGUGCGGGACGUGUCCCGUUUUGUAUGUACCUUAUGAAUAAGGAUCGGCUAACUCCGUGCCAGCAGCCGCGGUAAUACGGAGGAUCCGAGCGUUAUCCGGAUUUAUUGGGUUUAAAGGGUGCGUAGGCGGCCUUUUAAGUCAGCGGUGAAAGUCUGUGGCUCAACCAUAGAAUUGCCGUUGAAACUGGGGGGCUUGAGUAUGUUUGAGGCAGGCGGAAUGCGUGGUGUAGCGGUGAAAUGCAUAGAUAUCACGCAGAACCCCGAUUGCGAAGGCAGCCUGCCAAGCCAUGACUGACGCUGAUGCACGAAAGCGUGGGGAUCAAACAGGAUUAGAUACCCUGGUAGUCCACGCAGUAAACGAUGAUCACUAGCUGUUUGCGAUACACUGUAAGCGGCACAGCGAAAGCGUUAAGUGAUCCACCUGGGGAGUACGCCGGCAACGGUGAAACUCAAAGGAAUUGACGGGGGCCCGCACAAGCGGAGGAACAUGUGGUUUAAUUCGAUGAUACGCGAGGAACCUUACCCGGGUUUGAACGCAUUCGGACCGAGGUGGAAACACCUUUUCUAGCAAUAGCCGUUUGCGAGGUGCUGCAUGGUUGUCGUCAGCUCGUGCCGUGAGGUGUCGGCUUAAGUGCCAUAACGAGCGCAACCCUUGCCACUAGUUACUAACAGGUAAAGCUGAGGACUCUGGUGGGACUGCCAGCGUAAGCUGCGAGGAAGGCGGGGAUGACGUCAAAUCAGCACGGCCCUUACAUCCGGGGCGACACACGUGUUACAAUGGCGUGGACAAAGGGAAGCCACCUGGCGACAGGGAGCGAAUCCCCAAACCACGUCUCAGUUCGGAUCGGAGUCUGCAACCCGACUCCGUGAAGCUGGAUUCGCUAGUAAUCGCGCAUCAGCCAUGGCGCGGUGAAUACGUUCCCGGGCCUUGUACACACCGCCCGUCAAGCCAUGGGAGCCGGGGGUACCUGAAGUCCGUAACCGCGAGGAUCGGCCUAGGGUAAAACUGGUGA